Molecule: ribosomal RNA, 585 nt
Filed under: Triticum aestivum (bread wheat)
Lineage: Eukaryota; Viridiplantae; Streptophyta; Magnoliopsida; Poales; Poaceae
Description: partial small subunit ribosomal RNA
Source: RNAcentral
AUGACUUUCGGCCUCUGCUUUCGGUGCUUGGCGUUGGACCACUUCGUCGCGGGCUGCCGCGGCCCUGUCCGGUGCUUGGGAUGUGGCCACUCCGGCCAUCGCGAGCGGGAGUGCUUGGCACAACAUCUUGCCGACAGCCCUGCGACUGAUGGUGUCGUGCCGGUGGCUGACCCCGGCGUGCCUCCUACUGUUUUGGAGCCCUUGCGGCCUCUCCUUGCAGCUCAGGCGGAGGCGCUCGGCGCUGAGCUACAUGCCUUGUUCACUGCUCAUCUUGAGGAGCUGUUCAAGCCUCUUCAAGACUUGGUUGCUGCUGUGGAGAGUUGGACUGCUCAAGUCUCAAGCCUAUGGGAACCUAUGGAAGCUAUCGGGGGCAGCCAAGACCUUGCCAAUGUUGAAUCUGCUCCUCCUGCUGUGGCCGUUGGUGAGGAUUGCAGUGCACUUGUUGUGGCUGGCUGCUCAGCUGAGUUGAGUGAGAAGGCUCAGUCCGUUGAUGAUCCGCCUGCCUUGGAAAAGGUCAUGCUCGAGGAUGAUCCUCCUGACUUGGCUUCUGUCCUACCCGGGAUGGUGAGUCAAGGCGUGGAGUAG